This 3907-nucleotide long non-coding RNA is filed under the name Equus caballus (horse). RNAcentral's name for it is "lncRNA (ENSECAG00000051201.1)". Lineage: Eukaryota; Metazoa; Chordata; Mammalia; Perissodactyla; Equidae. The record is from RNAcentral.
GCCUGGCCUUGCAUUUCUUUCUUUCUUUUUCUUUUUUUUUUUUAACAACUAUUGCCAAUCCUCUUUUUUUAUCCUUCUUCUUUUCCCCAGAGUCCCCAGUACAUCAUUGUAUAUUCUAGUUGUGGGUCCUUCUAGUUGUUGCAUGUGGGAUGCUGCCUCAGCAUGGCCUGAUGAGCGGUGCCAUGUCGGCGCCGAGGAUCCGAAGAGGCAAAACCCUGGGCCACCAAAGCGGAGCACGUGAGCUUAACCACUCGGGCAUGGGGCUGGCCCCUGGUCUUGCAUUUCUGAACUUAAGUGAAAGUAAGCCUAGAACAUGUUUUAUGGUAUACAGAAUUAGAACCUAUGUCCCAGUAUACCUAAUUCUGACAAAUACCUUCAUUAAAGGAUGUGAGUCACCACUAUAGAACUCUAUUAUUCUAGAGAAAUUGUUGAAGUUGAAAAAAGCCACUUACGUUUCUGAACAUUAACAUGAAGAUAUCCUUUGAAGCUUUGAUUUGAUUAAUAGAAUUUUAUUACCGGAGAGCGUUCAAAGUAGUGCAAAUGUCCUCACUAGAGAUAUUGGCAUAACACUUUAUAAGAAAAUCAUGCUCCUUCAAGUCAACACAUAGUUAAUUCACAUUUGGAGAUGAGGCUACCGUGACAACAUGACAAUUUGAUGAGGUUUAAACAGCUUCAGAAGGGGGAUUAUUAAAAGGGAGAGAAAAGAAAUGCUUUGUGAUAGAAAAAUAGAAUACCAGAUUAUCUGGACAAUUUUUAACAGUCAUUUGCAAGGACUUAUUGUCACUCUUUUAUCACAGUUUUCUUUCUUUCUUUCUUUCAUUUCUAUUGCUACAGUGUGGGAUUAUUUGUUCUAUGAUGAAAAUGAAUUUCUGUAUAAGAUUCAAGAGGCAUACUUAAAUCCAUCAAGCAUGGCUUCUGUUAAAAUCUCCUGGCAGUUCUCAAUGGCACUUUUAAAUUCCUUGGAAUUUGAUUGUAUCUGCCUCAUCUUUAUAUUAAUCACAUGGCUAGUGUGCAAGGACAAAAGUUUAUAGCUUGAAUUUUCUGGCCCACAAAGUCUCAGGGAGGUUGUAUCUCAGGUCCUGGAGGGGAAGACCUAACGGAGCAUGGCAAAUGAGAUGUGGGCCAGUGUGGGUAACGGUACAAUGUCAGACAAAGCAUUGGAAAAUGUAGGGCCCCAGAUUCUGCCAAACCAGUAGAAUGAUUUUGGGCAAGCCACUUAACCUCUGCAUAUCAUUUCUCUCAUCUGUAAAAUGAGAUGAUUGGUUUAAUGAUCUCUAAGCUCUUUCCCUGGACCCAAAUUCCUUAAUAUUGAUGUGGCAUGUUUUACAUCUUUUAGGAUUCCUAUGAAUGAGUGUUUAAAUGCAGAAAGUGUGUAGGUAAGGUAGCCUGUAUUCUCUUAGGGAAACCAAAAAAUCAUGUCCAGUGUUAAGAGCAAUGCCAGGACAAGUACACUGUACGUAGGAGUCCAUUUGGGUAGUUUAAGGUUGCUUUUGUUAUAUCCAGUCAUGAAAAGGUAUUGGGAAGCUGAGUCUCAUUUAAAAUGUCUCUGCAGGGACUAUCUCUGUAAGUAAUAAAGCCUUCAAGAAAAAUGAAACAAUAAAAUCCCUAAAGACAUGAAGUGGCUCAUAUAUGUUUUUAUUUGUUUAUUUGUUUUUCAGACAAUGCAGAAAAAUAGUAUACUUUUUUAGUAAGGAUACUUAACUUGGUUGGGUAGGAUAUGGGGUGGUAAUUCAUGUCAUAGCCACAGCCCCAUCUCAAAAAUAGGGGAAAAUUAAUUUUUAAAAAAUUUCUGUUAAAUUUUGAAGGUUUAAUGUUUACUUUUUAGUAUUGUAUAAAGGAACAUAAUUCAGCAGAGUGGUUAGAAGCAAAGACUUUAGAGUCAGACAGAACUGGAUUUGAAUCCCAGCUCCAUGACUUACCUCCUGGGUGUCCUUGGGGAAAUGAAAUAAUCUCUCUGAGCUCAGUUACCUCAUCUAUAAAGAGAGAGCAUAUUGGUGGUGGAAAUCUUCCAUUUUGCCUGCCUGGCAUUUUUUCACCUUCUUUUGGAAGCCUUCUUUCCUUAGGAGAACUUAUUCCAUGUGGUUAAAUCAUUUCGAAUUGUCUCUGGACAUCCAUGUCAAAACUUUAAAGUGGUAAGGAAUAGACUAGGAUGAAACUCACAGGCUUGCCAGAACCAUGACAGAGCAUUCCACAUUCGAUGCUAAUACAUUGUAAAGUAUGUGCUAAUGAAUUACAGAUAGUGUCACACAGUCUUUGCACGCUGUCAUAUUAAUUCAAGAUUUCAGAAUUUCAAAAGGCAUUUUCAAUAUGAUUCAAGUGUAUAAAUAUUAAGGAGGCAUUAACCUUUAUCAAAAUGAUUUUUUCUUGUGUUAAAAAGAUCAAAAUUUAACAUAACGGGGCAUACAAUUUGACUUUGCUGUAAAGCAGUUGAUGAGAAGAACAGUAUCUGCCCCAAAAUUAUUCAUGUAAAAACUGUGAAACCUUUCAUUUACACUUCUUGGGAAUGGCAGGAGUGGGGAUGGGAGUUGGAGGAGAAAGAGGAAUAUUGCAAGGGAUGAGAAAAGCGUAAAUUGAAGGAUGUCGGUUCUUUAAUUAACAUGCUGCUUGUCAUCUUUUAGCACAGAGAAUAACAAAACCCUGCAGGCACUAAAUAAAAUGAACCUUAGGGAGGUUUAUCAUCCUAGACAACAUACAGAGUUUGUGUCAAUUUGGAGUCACUGAUGCAAAAAUUCAAACACUUUGUUUUCUAGCCGCACGGCAUCAACAAGAACGUUUUCAAGGUCAAAUGAAUAUCUUGAUAAGUCAGAAUGUGGGAUUUCCUGAACUGGCCUCCUUGAGGCUGAUCAGGGCCCUUGGUGAAGCAAAUUGGAUUCAGGCCAAGUCCUCAGACCAGUGAUAUGCUUACACAACUAUCAAUUCCCUUUUUUAAAAAAGCACUUUGUCUCUAGCAGCAUUUUCAACUGGAGUCAAUCAGUUCCAGCCUCAGGAGAGCCCAGACUAGAAGAAAAUAAAACAGUAACGGUACUUAUUUUUGUCUUACCUUGUCAGAGUCUUCAAUUCUGGGGGCAAAUGUUUUGGGCAGCUUUAUGACCCCUGCAUCAUCCUCCACACCAUUAGGGCAGCAAUCACGUUGAACUUGCUCACUGCCAUGUCCCCAUUUUCUGGCCCAGUGCCUGGCACGUCGCAAGUACUCAAUAAAUGUUUGUCGAACAAAAAGUAGAUGUCAAGGGUCCCGUGAAUAAAACUACUUCUUCAAAUUAACUUGGGAAACAUCCCAGGGAGUAUUAAGCAGUAAUUAAAAUCUUGCAUUAUGACCUAUGUUCCAGAAACUUCUUAAGGGACUUGUGAAUUUCUAAUAUGCUAAGCUCUCAUUUUGUAAAGAAUCUCUUUUUGUGCUUCUGGACUUAUAGGCAAACAAGUAAUUGAGAUAUUUAUCAAUUCCUCGACUGUAGGAAAUAAGUCCAAAUUCUAGGAGCUUCCUAUGUUAAAACAAAGAAGAUGUACUCUGUGAGGGAAUAAGAUAAAUUGUGGGACAUUUUAAAUUGUGAUGACAUAAAUAAUUCUAAUGGUACAUCACCCAUGGAAGAAUAAUACAUUUUAUCCAACAUUUUCAUCUUUUCCAUUUGGAAGGGAAGGGAAUUCCUUUCAUGAAAACCUACACAGCAGCCAUUAAAAGGUACCAUUAGUGUGCAUUGGGGGACCUCUGUUCCCCAGCAUACUGGGCAACAUCUCAGUUUGGGCAUCUUGGGUUGAACUGUGAUUAGAGUUCCCAUGGAUUUAUUUGGGAGAGAAGGGGAAAAGCAAGUGAUAAUUUCACCUCUAAAAAGAAAACUGUGGGACAUCUAGGCUGAAUUUAUUCUCCCCAUUCUCUGUCCUCGAGUACUGCCAAUACUAAUCAAAUCGGUUG